UAUAAUUGUAUAUAGGGUUGUUUUUCUUUAAUGUUCUUAUUGUAAUUUUGGAUUUAAUAAUUGAAUUUUGAGCAAAUUACUUAAAUGACGUAACAUGUAAUUAAUUGAUUUGCUGAAAAAUGCUUUUGAGUUUGAGUUUGAUAAAAACAAGUCAAGUAAUACUUGACAAAUAUACAAAUAAAAACUUGCGCUAUCUUCAACAGUGUACUUCACACACAUUUUUACGGUGAAAUGCAAAUUUACAAAUUUUAACCACAACAGGGGAUAAUAGUCGGUGCACACCAGCACACCAGAAAUUUUUGGUGGUGCACACCGGCACGCCAGGCUUUUUGCUCGUGCACACCGGAGAUCUCGUCGAAAAGUGCCAUUCUCUGCAGACCGGAUCAUAGCGGCCUGGCCUGUUGCGUUGUAUGAGCGAAUGAAGAAUAAGUUAUACAAAUACUGUCUAGUUGUUAUACUGUAAAAGUUAUACUGUCUAGAAAUACUAAUUCUGUUUGGCACCUUCAAUUCUUAGAAUUAGUAAAUUUAAUAUUUUAUUUUAAUUAAAUCUGGCAGAAAAGAGUAUACCAUAUACAUAUAAUAUAUGUAUGCAAUGUUAUGAUCAUACAAUGUUUUUGUUCGAUAGGUAUCUCUGUGCAUUGGCAUACAGUCUUGGUGUCUGUCAGAGACAAACGUAGAUACUUCAAUUCCAGAACUUCUGAGAGAUUCAAAACCUUGUUGAUGCCAAAGCAACUCCAUCUGUGCAGAGCUUCCAUUAACGCUGCUUGUCUGUGAAGAACGAGGAACACAAAUUUCAAUGUUUAAAUUUAACAACAAACAUGAUCCAAGAUUAAUUUUUUGGUCUUUGACCAAGGCUGACCAGGUCAAAGACCACUAUUUCUGUUAUACAGAAACGACUGAGUCCGUGAUUUAAUUGAAAGUUUUUAUAUCAUGUUUUGUUACUUGAUGACUUCUGUUUAUUGUUAAUCGAUUCUCACUUGCAUUUUGAAUCUUUAUCCCAUAGAAUAUCAUUUCCCUGCUUCUUAAAUAUUUCUUGAGUUGCCAACCCCCUGCUUUUUUAGUUUCCAAAACCUUUUUCGCUUUUGUAUAAAAUAUUGAAGUAGUUUACAUUUGUCUAAAUGGUUUAAAAAAAUAACUGCAAAAUUGAAUAUUUGGGUAAUUUUUAUGUAUUAAAAACGGUGAUAGACAGAGAGACAAGGAGUUCCUUUUUUCCAUAAAGCGAGUGCCCCCGGUGUUGUACAGUCAUUACCAAUAACGUAUCUCAGCUGUUACACAAUAGAACGUUGUUAGGCAGUUAUAAAAAAACAAUAGGAAACUUAUUACUCACCAUGCUUUUUUCAUUCUUGCUUCGUUCUUUGUCCUGUUUUGGUUUGCGGACUGAGGGUAGAGCAUCACGUCGAAAAAAUGUUUUGGUAUUUUCGGUGUCAAAACCAGGAGGAGAAGGAAAUGUACGGGAAAAAUCAGUCGGAAAAAGGUGAUCUUGAAAAAGAUGAUGGCUCGAUAUCUUUACGCUGCAUUUUUAAUAAGUAAUGCCAAGCGGCGAACUUCUGUUGGGGCAGGUUUUCCAGGAUGGCAGUCAAGCACAACGGUAUCUUCCUCAAGGGGGUAUUCGUUCCAUAAAGUCAUGCACAACACUUUAUUUCAAUUUUUAUCAAUUUUAUAUUGAACCAAAAAAAUUUUCUAAAUUACUUUCCGACCUUUGAUGGCAUUGCUUGAGUUAUCUAAAUAAAAAUUAUUACAAUUAUGGAGGAAAAAUAUCUUUAGGGGGACAACAGUAGUGCCCGCACAUAGUGAAACCAUACAUAAGCCUUGUUCUAUUCAACGGAUACACAACCACUUUACGUCACAGGGGUCACGUGGCCACAGGUUCGACCGCGUUUUUCUCGUGACACAUUUUAGCUCGAGUGGGUGUUGGAAAACCCCGUUUUUUGGGGAAAGUAAGUCGCAAAUGAAAAAACUAAGUUCACCAUCGUUACCAGCGAUGUUUCUUUGAUGAUUUAAGCGAAUAAAAUUUUUCGUGUCAUAUGCACUUUAACAAAGUACAGUUUGUGAAGAAAUAAGUCUCAGAUUUUCCAUAUUAUAAUAAAAUACUAAAAAAAUAUAUAGAUUUUUCUCGAUAAGAAAAUAUACAUAUUGAUCACCAAAUAUUUAAUGCAAUGACGUUAAAAUCAAAACACAAUCAAGAGCCACGAAAACUGACAUUUGCCACAAUGACGAAAAUUUCCUUCAUCACUAGAACCCAAACUCCUUAGGUAUUCAAACAAUCCGGAGUGGUGCCAUGUUCUGCAUGAUGUCAUAUUUUUAGGAGAGCGUUCCUGAAUCUAGGCGACCUGUGAUUCGUUGAUGCAGUCACAAAACUCCUUGACGUGUAUGACAGGAUGUUAAUCAGAUUAUCCAAACCGGAUUCUUCACCUUCGGCCCGGACUAGUUCAGUCUGUGGGUGUUGGAUCGUGACAGUAAAGGCAGCCAAUUUGCAAAGGCUCCUUCGCUGUUGCAGAAAAAGCCAUAUAUGAUGGAAAGCGAAUUGCUGUCAAGAGACUAACUGAUGCCUCUCCAAGCACAGAUAAAAGCAUUUUCGCAAAGGAAGCGUCGCUGUUGAAGCAAAUAGACUGUGCGAACAUUGUAAAAUUGAUUAGUGUUUCCGAUGAUCCAAUGGCUGUCAUGCUAGAAUAUUUGAUUUUGCUCUACAAUGAAGAUCCUACUUUACCAAUAUAUGCUAAAGGAAGAAGUCAGCCUUGCUCAACAGCAGAAGUAGCCGAGUUACUAAUCAUUGGCGUCAAAUCUGAAUUGAUUUGCGCGAACACUCCCAUCUACGUAAAAAACAAUGUUGAAUUCGUUGUUGAUGCAAAUUCAUUAAAUGACUGGAGAGACAUUCGCGCAGACAUGAAUUGUGGAUUGCAGCGCUCCGGGACAAAAUCAUUUCACUUUGAUUUUUCAGAAGGCAAAGCCUUCACUGCUUAUAAGAGCAAUAGCACUCACGUUGCUACAAGAUACCUUUAUGUUCACAAAACAAACAGCGAUUUCCACAAGGUGAUUGUAAGCGUCAAGCACUUGGAAUCUGACAAAACCCUACCACUCUUUUAUGUCCAAUUCUACUUUAACGAUGGUGAGCAUCAGAUAGAAUUCGAUUUUCAACGUGCUGGGAAGGGCUCCAAGAAAAACGUACGGCAAACGAAGUUUUCUGUUAGGGCUGAGAUGAAGUAAUUGGCUAGAGAAGGACUGCAGGGAAAAGCUAUUUUCGAUAGGCUUUGUAAAAGUGCUGGUGGCUUUAAAAAUGCAAGAUCGAGUUCGGAUUUUCCCAAUUCUACGACACAGAUAUACGACAUAGUGAGAGAAGAGGUGGCCAUAAAAAGAGAGAUGAGGUAGUAGAACUAAUAGAUUUGUGCAAAGAAACCUGCGAACAGCCAAAUGCAUUUG
Rhopilema esculentum is the source of this 3417-nucleotide non-coding RNA. Lineage: Eukaryota; Metazoa; Cnidaria; Scyphozoa; Rhizostomeae; Rhizostomatidae. The record is from RefSeq and is a predicted model, not a curated record.